CACGAAUGUGCAACAAUUAGCUAAGGUCAAAAUUGUCGAGGAGCGUAGCUCAUCCUUAGUGAUACACAUUAUAUAUAAUCCCCAGUAAGGAGAAGACAGGUAUAACAGCAGACUGUAAAUGGAGGGUUUUAGUCGCUCUAAAAGUUUGGCAUGUCAUUAAAUUCUCUAAUUGUGGUUGUCCACGCCUAAUCUCCCUUGGAUAAAAACACUUACCUGCACAGCUCCUCCAUGAUCCCAGACUUAUAUAAUGUGAAACCGAUCAAAACCCUUUUUCCUUGGUUUCAGAUGUAUGCAAAUAUAUAGAGAGAGAGUUGGGGUAUUAUGAGGGCGUGUUUCAUCAGAAACGAGGGGGGUGGAAAGGGUGGGGGACUAGUGGAAGGUUAGAUGAGGAAGGCCAAAAAAAGACUGAAGGGAGAGGUGGGUUUUUCACCAGUAACGAGGGAAGAGAAGGGAAUAACCAUGAUGAUGAAGAUGAUCCUUUGAUUCUUCUAAAUAUGCCCUUCCCUUAUAGGGGAAUGAACCAUCCAAUCUUAAUUAUAUUUUUUAUCUGUCUUUUUUAGUCUGAAAAACACCCCUUAUCUUCCUCAGUCCUUCUACCUCCCUCUUUAAUUAAUGACGCCAUCUCACUCUCUCUCUUAUUUACUAUUCUUCCUUCAUUGCAUCUUAAAUAGGAGAACCCCAUCAGCAUCUACUCCACUCUCCUGUUUUCAUUUAUACACUCUUUUCUUUUCUUCUGUUCUCUUCUCUUCCUUUCUCUUCGUGUCUCAGUGGUGAAUACAAGGACAGUUAGUUUAUCAUUUUUAGUUUGCUUUCAUGGGGGUUUAGCAAAGGGCUUCUUACAGAGUUUAUUGGCAUUCUGUCCACCUCCCCAUCAUGGAAAAAGUCCGUAUUUUUCCCCUCUGGUUUUUCAUGGAGGUGGGCAUACUGCCAACUGUGCUCUGUUGGCUUCUCUUUGUAAAAUCCUUGUGAUGCAUUUCUUCCAGCUUUCGUCUCACUCUGAUGAACUUCCAGGUAACUUUACUACUUCAUACGAAAAGAAAUGGAAUGAAGAACAUUUUACCAUCUAUUUGGUACUUUCAUCAUGCUAGCUUCUGCUACUUGGAGGUUUUUGAUUAUCAGUAGUUAGAUAUGUACUGACUAGUCUACUGAGGUUUGAGGGUGCGUGCCACCAACUUGAGGCACUACCUUCUGUUUUCUUAUUUCUGUAACUGGUCUUAUUUUAAACCCCCUUUGAGUCUUUGACUGCUAAUUAAGAACCCUAACUAGGUUUUACAGAUUAAUUUUUCUCUACUUUCUCCUUUCCAAUCAUCAAUACUUGUUACAGUUGCAGAACUUCUAUGUGGGGUUCCAUAAUCCAUUUAGGGUUUUAUGAUUAGCUUCAUGUUUAUGCAGUCAAGGUCCAUGAAACCAUUUUUAAGUGUUGAAGGAUCGAUCCCUGAAUUUGAUAUCCAAUUCCAAGUAAAACCCCUUCGAAACAAAAGGGAAAGUGUGUGGAAAUUGCAUAUUUAUCCUUGAAAACAAAAAAAAACCCAAGGGCAGGAACAAGAAGAUUUUGUCAGAGUUGCAUGAGACCCAAAUGAUAAUUCCAUUGAAGGGUUUUGAAUUAGAAACUUUUAAAACUUAUUAUUUUGGUUUCUUGAGAGGUUUAUGAGCAAGUUAAUUAUCAGAUAUCAGAUUACACACUUAAAAGCAAAAAAGGAUUUUUAAUGUUCAUGGCCUCAUGCAUGAUUGCGCCACCAACUUCAAAAAUGUCAGUCAUUUAUUUACUUCGUUUAAAUAUUGUAUAUUUUUAAUUAAAUCAUACACGGUGCACUAAUGAAUCUGUAGGGCAGGGUCUCUUUUAUUUAGUGGCAGCUAGCCCUAGUACAGGUUGCAUUUUCUACACCCUCCUGAACACCUUAUACAUAGCCUCAUGAUUGAAAUACUGACAAACACCAUUAAACAAUUGUUAAAACGCAAACAAAAAAGGGUAGGUAAACAUCUAAUCACCUAAUUUAACUCCGGUGACUCCACAUCGAUUUUUUCACUCUGGUUCUAUAUAAUUGAGCUUGGUGAGAAGAAAAGUGACGAGGAUUGGUGGUGAGGAUGCAGAAGCAUGAGAAUGUACGUUAAUACAAUGCAGGAUUAAAAAUAAAAGAAUGAGAACCCAUGUGUUGGAUGGAUGUGAAGGGUUUGAGUUUUACUAGUUGCUAGGGAAAAAAGGAAAAGUGGGGUUUAGACGGAAAAUGGGUAACAUUAUCUUGAAUGUGAUAUAAGAUAUGUAUUCAUUAGGUCUAUACAGAGUAGGUUAUCAUGAGCUUUGAACGUGUACUAAUGGAGGAUAUUGGUGAAGUCAGAGGUAGCUACACUGCUGGGUCGGAGCAGGAAUUUUGGGUUUUGGGGUAAACAGAGUGGUGCUAGUGGACCAUUGUCUGCCUUGACUACUUAUUAUUUGGUGCAUACAUAGAGCGGGUUUGGGUCAAUGCGUGAGAGAAUUUUGGUCAAGAGUACGACUAGAUAAAAGAUGCUUAUGACUCAAUCAAUGGGGACCAUAUAUACUCUUACAUUUCAACUUGUUUUCCUUUUUUUACGUUAUAUGUUUUGUUGGGGCAAGUUCUGGUGAUGAGUCGGCCCUGCAACAAAGUUGUUUGAAGAGGUAUUUUGUUUGAUCGUCAGUUAUGUCGCGUCUUCUUCUGUUGGUUCCUUCUGGGCCCUCUAACCAGCUGCAAUAUACCCUUCAGUUCACUAUCGGAAUUUAUUUCAUUUCUUUACUAUCAUAAAAAAGGAUUGUUCACUUUAAAUAUUAUUCUUUUCUGAAUGGUAGUGUUAUGUGGCAAGGCAGCCAUGUGAAUGGUGGUUAAGAACAAAUAAUUCUCUUGAGAUGGUUUAGAAAUUUUAUAUUAGUGAAAAACGUUUUAAUGAAAUUGGAUUUAGUAUUUUAAUGAAAGAAAUCCACUUGACGUGAGUACAUGAUUA
Molecule: long non-coding RNA, 2955 nt
Organism: Gossypium raimondii (Peruvian cotton)
Lineage: Eukaryota; Viridiplantae; Streptophyta; Magnoliopsida; Malvales; Malvaceae
Exons: 2
Source: RefSeq, a predicted model, not a curated record